RNAcentral lists this ribosomal RNA (426 nucleotides) under uncultured archaeon. Its description in RNAcentral is "bacterial SSU rRNA". It matches the Rfam family "Archaeal small subunit ribosomal RNA", at positions 474 to 903 of the family's 1478-position model. The record is from RNAcentral.
UACCAGCUCUUCGAGUGGUGUGGAUGUUUAUUGGGCCUAAAGCAUCCGUAGCUGGCUGGGCAAGUCCCCUGUUAAAUCCACCGAUUUAAUCGUUGGAGUGCGGGGGAUACUGUUCGGCUAGGGGACGGGAGAGGCAGACGGUAUUUUCGGGGUAGGGGUGAAAUCCUAUAAUCCCGGGAAGACCACCAGUGGCGAAGGCUGUCUGCUAGAACGCGCCCGACGGUGAGGGAUGAAAGCUGGGGGAGCGAACCGGAUUAGAUACCCGGGUAGUCCCAGCUGUAAACGAUGCAGGCUAGGUGUUUGGGCGGCCACGUGCCGCUCUAGUGCCGCAGGGAAGCCGUUAAGCCUGCCGCCUGGGGAGUACGGCCGCAAGGCUGAAACUUAAGGAUUGGCGGGGAGCACCACAAGGGGUGAAGCUUGCGGUUU